Molecule: small nucleolar RNA, 250 nt
Filed under: Myotis brandtii (Brandt's bat)
Lineage: Eukaryota; Metazoa; Chordata; Mammalia; Chiroptera; Vespertilionidae
Source: RNAcentral
AUUCAGUGCCCUAAACUAAGCACAUCAGACUUGCAGAAGAAGCCUGCACCAGAGCAAGCUGAGGAUGACUGCGCAAAAGCCAGCCCUUCCACGUGCAAUUUCCCUCUGAUAGUUCCUGGGUACUGUUGCCACAGUGAUAAUGACUGUCCCGUGUCAUUUUCUAUCCACCAACAGUAAGAGAAGCUUUGCAGUUGAAAUAUCAUUUAACAGACAGAGUGGUUCCUGUUGGACACUAAGUCCUGCUACAAAU